UGGGGAAUUUUGGACAAUGGGCGAAAGCCUGAUCCAGCAAUGCCGCGUGUGUGAAGAAGGCCUUCGGGUUGUAAAGCACUUUUGUCCGGAAAGAAAUCCUUGGCUCUAAUACAGUCGGGGGAUACGGUACCGGAAGAAUAAGCACGGCUAACUACGUGCCAGCAGCCGCGGUAAUACGUAGGGUGCAAGCNUUAAUCGGAAUUACUGGGCGUAAAGCGUGCGCAGGCGGUUUGCUAAGACCGAUGUGAAAUCCCCGGGCUCAACCUGGGAACUGAUUGGUACUGGCAGGCUAGAGUAUGGCAGAGGGGGUAGAAUUCCACUGUAGCAGUGAAAUCGUAGAGAUGUGGAGGAAUACCGAUGGCGAA
This 365-nucleotide ribosomal RNA is filed under the name uncultured bacterium. Its description in RNAcentral is "partial 16S ribosomal RNA". It matches the Rfam family "Bacterial small subunit ribosomal RNA", at positions 355 to 719 of the family's 1533-position model. The record is from RNAcentral.